AUGUGAUGUGGACAAUCCCUCAAAUAGCCCUUGUAACUUUCCCACGCUUGAGGCAGUGUCUUAGUAUCUUUCUGAGUAAAGCUAGCAAUUUUUCCUCUCAACUC
Small nucleolar RNA from Lycium ferocissimum, 104 nucleotides. NCBI's taxonomy places the organism in Eukaryota, Viridiplantae, Streptophyta, Magnoliopsida, Solanales, Solanaceae. The record is from RefSeq and is a predicted model, not a curated record.